Molecule: long non-coding RNA, 1807 nt
Organism: Capsicum annuum
Lineage: Eukaryota; Viridiplantae; Streptophyta; Magnoliopsida; Solanales; Solanaceae
Exons: 2
Source: RefSeq, a predicted model, not a curated record
AGAUCGUUCAAUUUUUUAAUCGGACGAAUUAAAAUGAGUCAAUAUAUGCAAGAUCAGUGCAUUAAUCAAAAGAGUUCACGCGUCUUCUUUGGCAGAAGCAUGCGUAGCUCUCUUUCCAAAACAACACUCCCCUUCUCCUCUUUCCCUUCUAUCCACCAUACUCAAAUUAGAGACCUAGGUUUAGGCCGCGUCACCACGUCUUCCACCUACCCACACGAAUCUUCCAUUUUUAUCACCCCAAGUAAGCAAAUAGCCAAAAAUCAGAGAAAAUCAAUCCCUAGUUUGUGCAAAAAUGAAACUUUCUAAGGAUUUGCAGUUAAGGCUUGAUAGAAGCUGAAAUUUUCACAGAUGGAUGUCAUAAUUUUGAAUUCAAAUCUCAUCUCCAUAAAAUGUGCUUCAAAUCCGGAUUUUGGCUAUAAAUAGCCCCAAAAUCGCCAUCAUCAAGGACAGGUUGGAGAUUAAAGGAAAAUCGAACUACAUUCACAAAAGUUUCCUAGAAUAUUCACAAAAGGGGUUGUUAGUUUCUUCUCUUAAUUUUGGUGUUUGAUCGAGUCCUGAAAUUAGAGGUUUGGUGGCCGGAAUACUCGAUAAGAAGCCCGAGUUUGCUGCGCAAUACAAGAAGAUUUGUAAUAGGAGAUAUCUUAAGGAAAGCAUAAUGUGGCUUCUCUAAUGCACUGUUGUCUUAAGUCUAAUGGAAGUUGUAUGCAUUACCUUGCCAAGAAAUUAAAUAAAGAUUGUCUUCUCCCCCUUGUUUUGCUUCAAAUCAAACAAAGGAGACAACUGCUGCUUUGCUCUAUAGUUCAAUACAAUUAUUUAAUGCCUUUUCUUUAUUAGGGUCAAAUUCAGGUGCCUUCCUUGAAAGAUUUUUUAUCACUUACUAAACAUCCUAAAAUUUUUAUACGUUUUCCUUAAGCCAAGGAUCUAUCUGAAAGAGCCUCUAUACCUUCACGAGAUAGGGGCAAGGUCUUCGUAUACUUUACUCUCCCCAAACUCCAUCACAUUGUUAUGUUAUUUUGUGUUAGAUAUACUAUCAUUAUCAGUUGUCUGUUGCCUUUGGAAAAAAAAGCCCAUUCUACUAAGUGCCUUCGUGCAUUCUGCAUAACUCAAAUUCUUAUGGGUACUCCAAUGAAAAACAAAAUAAUAAAUGCUUCCUUUGUAUUUUUGAUGCAUGAACAACUUUUUAUGUCUGUUGUGUUUCUUUAUUGGUUUAUAAAACUAAAAGAAAUAGCCUGCUUUCUGUCUAAUCCUAAACUACCCAGGUAUGCAAGUUGAUUACAAUAAAGAAUUUUUUUUAAGUGCUUAAAACUAUUAUGGCUUAAGUUUUUUUUAUGUUCAAAAUAAUGGUGUUUGGUUUUCUCUUUCUUUAGUGGGUUUGUUUGAUAAGUUUUUAAAAGCCUUUCUUAUUAUAAUAUGGUAGUGGGUGUGCACAUUGUUCUCUGUACAGUCAUACGUGUGUAUUUUUGAAACCAUGUUUGUCCAUUGCGUGUAAUAUUUUAAGUUCAUAUCUAAUGUUUGUAUUUUCUGUAUUCCAUUCAUUUAUUAAUUAGUUUUUUUCAAUGCUUAUCUUUUAUUUUUCAUGUAAAUCUCGGGAGUUGGAGUUUCACAUCGAAAUUUCAUUCGGACCCAAAUAUCGGGUUAGCUACUAGGAUGAUUGCAAAGUAUCGGAGUCGUGUAAACUAGAAGCUCGAAUUUCAUUAGGAAUCUAGUAUCUCUUGAUCCUUGCUCCUUAUUUAAUAUCUUGGUUCUAUGUUAUCCCUCUGAAAAACUUGAAAUGGUAUUUAAUUAUUGGCUAUUGAACCUUUUGUUA